Long non-coding RNA from Grus americana (Whooping crane), 7584 nucleotides. RefSeq lists it as uncharacterized. The record is from RefSeq and is a predicted model, not a curated record. NCBI's taxonomy places the organism in Eukaryota, Metazoa, Chordata, Aves, Gruiformes, Gruidae. The transcript has 13 exons.
GCAUGAGCUCUCAAACAAUGAAACUGUCUUCAUGGACAUUUCACUGAAAGUCAUCCUUUGAUGAUAGUGGUGUGACUGUUGUAUAACUGUAAUUUUUAACUCCUGGUGAUGGUGCUGUGUAAAAAGCUGUUUCUUCUCCUUUAUUAGAACUGAUAGAAGAUCCAAGAUGUGAAAAAGAGUCCAAAGUCUUGCUCAACUGUUUAUGGCUAACAAGGAAUCCAGAAACUUUGUCAUGGCAUUCCUGUUAUGCACACACCUCUGAUAAGUCUGCACUAAGAAUAAAGGGCCAAAUUCUGUGCUGGAAUAAACCCAAUUUCUUUGGCAUCUGGUGAUCUUCUACUACCUGUUUCAGCAGAGACCUUGGUUACUAAAAGCUGAAGUAGAGAGACAUGUCAUUACACUUCUAAAUUGUAUAGUCAAUGUUUGGACACUUGUUUUAUCUUUGUGCCAAUGCACAGAAAGAAGUGUAAUAUGAUGCAUGCAUGACUUCUUCAUAAAGCUUUAGCUUUUGAAGCCUGUGAGUAGAGAAUUAGGUGUCCCAUUCAGGUAGAUUAUUCUAUAAUAAUAAUAGUCAUUCCUAUUGCAUCGUUUUCACAAGUGUGUAAGGCUCUUAACUGUGAAAGAGUGGACAUGCUGGACCGCUGUUCUGGACCAGUAUUGCACUCCCUGUGUUUUUGUAUUAUUAGAGCUACUUCUGUUGAAGUUUACGGCUAGCUAAAAAUUUGAGAUAUGCUAGGUUAUUCUAAUUGAGGAGAAAUUGUUGGUGAGAGUCACAUGCUACUUUUAUGUAACUCUGUGUAUUUACCAGAAAAGGACAAAGAUCUGUUCUUCUGACCACAGAACAAGUCAAACAACUAGAAGAAUAGAAGAAUUUUAUCCCAUUGCCUGUGAGACCUCUUUCAGCCAGAGCCCAUUCCUUGUGCUCACCCUUGGCCUCUUGUAGAUACCUGAUGUAUUACUUCAGCAGCAAAUUCAACAAGGCCAAGAUGUCUUCAUUUUCCUUCAGAGCAAAAGCUGUAAGAGCAGUGUGAUGGAAGUAUUGGUCUUCUGUGGCCAGCCGGCGAGAACCCAUCAACAGCGGUGAUGAGCAGGGCAGACAUAGGGAGACAGGAGGCAGCUGAAGCCAAAGAGGACCCAUGCCUGGAACUGUGUGUGUGUGAUUGGAGCAGAGAGAGGCCAGGACCCAAGGAAAUCCCAGCAGCAAGGGAAAAAAACAGAUUGACUUGCAGUGACUCAUUUAGCUCCUGGAUUGGACAGAUCUCUCCCCUGCUGGCAAUUUGGCUGAGCAUCAAUGGACAGAUACCAGGAUGAAUAGCUUAAAAUAAUUAGGGGUUGCGAAUCUGCAAAACUGCUAGCCAUCCAAUUCUUUACUGUGCAAUGCGAGGCACAAAAAAGAGAUUACAUUUAGGUUAUUAAAUAUUAAGUCAGUGGAUUUACCUCCAUUUGGUCCAGAACAGGAAACUGGCUAAAAUUCAACAUUGAUAUCAUUGUGUUGAUGGCCUGUUUAUCACUGAACAAGUGAGUGCCUUUUGGCAGGUCAAGCUCUUUGACACAUGGAGCGAAUGUGUGCAUAAUUUCUCCCAAACAGAAGAAUUAAUAUAAUAAUAAUUAACACAGAUGAGAACAGAAUUAAAAUCAAGUACAGUCAAGAGUUCAGUUUAAUGCCAGGCAUCUCACAUUCUACGUGUUCUGGGGCCAGAUUUUUUCCUGUCAAAGGCAAUAAGGAUUUUGCCAUUGGUGCUGAUGGGAGCCGGAGCGGGCCUUGAACACAGAGAGACAGGAUUCCCUGUACUUUCUAUUUAAUGCUCAAAACCAGAAGCAACAGGCUCAUUUAGUAUCAGUAAAGGUCGGUUAAAAUUAUAGAGACAUCCUUUGGAGCAAAUCCUCUGCCUUGUAUUUGCAUAUUUAUGAACUAGAGAUUACGACAGGCUAUUCCAUUUAUUAGAGCAGCGUCGCUAUAGUUAAUAGUCUGUCAGUAUUUCCAUUAUAAACCCCGUUUUUCAGUGUUUUAAUAUCUCAGCCAUUUAAAAUCACAUCAGGAAGCAAGUUGGUCUUGUGUUGUCGGCCAGGUGCAAUUUUUUGUUUUGGAUUAUUUUCAAUAAUGAAAUACUGAUCCUCAUAUAUGCAAAUGAGCCACAGCAUUUCUGUUGGAGGGAAAUAGCAAAGUGCAUAAGUUCAUUGUGGCUUUGUUUUUCUUUGGUCAAAUUCCUCUUUUCUCUUCUUUCCUAAUCAUGUCAACUGAGGCUUCACGUUUGAAGAACAGUUUCUCAAGCAACUGCUCUCAGAAGAAAUACUGGUUCUCAAUGUGAUAUCAGGUUGCUGCAUGCUUGCGAGUAGUGACCAAGGUAUACAGGCCAAGCAUAUUGACAUUAAUUAUAUGAAAUACUCAAGUUUUGGAAUAAUCUGUUGAAGAGCACAGACGUGUAUCAAAUCCUAUGCAAAUGAGUGUGUGCAACUAUUCUUCAGACAUUUCCAGAGCUACUGCGUCUGCACAAGUUCCAAAAAGCUCAUGGUACAGCGUCUGCUUUCACCUCUCAGAUUCAAGCCCAUUAAAGGAUUUGAGAAAAGCUAUCCAGUGCUGUGGACAAUGAAGAACAAAUGUGAUCCAUUUAGAUGAGUUGCAGAAUUGCCAACAACUGGCCUCCAGUCGGGCGAGUGUCUAUUCUGGUAACCCUACCAGCUACCAGCAGGUCUGGACAAGAUUGCUAAAUAAGGAGCAUCACACUGGUGUAAAACUCACGUGAAGGAGAUGAGAGUCAAGCCCAGUGGGAACAGAGGAGCUAUAAUGCAGGAGCCAGCCCUCCCUGUGCAACAUUUAAGUGAGGAAGAAGAGCUUUCAGAGCUAACUAAGAGUUAACUGGCUACAUUUCAACUGUCACCAUUGUCUUACAUCUACAUAGAGAGCGGGAGAGAGCCAGAGAGAUUGUCCCGCUCUCAGGUGGAUGAUUGCUCUUCAACAUUGGGCCAAGGUCAGACAGGUACUUAGCACUUCUGAAAUGCAAGCUCAAGGCAGGUUGUGUUGAACAUCUAAGCUUGGAGAAGUCUUUCUGGAAAGCUGAUGGAAAUUAGUGGUUCCCAGGAGAGGGAGUGGCGUGAACCCCUGGCAAGCUGACAGCAGGGAGGGGGAAUUACUGGGCAAGUGCUGGGUGUGCUCGCUCUCGCUGGCCAGAACACUGAGGAGCCACGGUGUACAGCUCCUCCAGCAAUCAGUGGAAACACUAAUUAACCUGAGGGCAGUCCCUGGCCCACUGAAGGCAUGGCAGGAUAUAUGGAAGGGGCAGGGGACAAGCUGGUCGAAGGCAGAUGAAGAUUUGGACUUGCAUUCCAGAAGAGAUGCCCACGAAGGGACACACUUCCCCCUAAGGAGCCAUCAGGUCACACAGACACUGGCUGCCUUCUAACAACGGAUGUUUUUCAGCCUGUAUCAGUCAUCCAUAUGACACUGCUCUUUUCAUACCAUCUUCUCAACACAGGGCUGAGGAGAACGGAGAUCAAGCACAUCCACGAAAAGGGUAGUUGGUUGGGAUCGCAUCCGUGACGCAACACACUCACCAACGAGCAGAUUUCAAGUCAACCACAGCAUGGCUACAAGCCUGGCAGGGGACUCAAGGCGGUGGCGGGCAGGUUCUGCCAGGCUUGGGGGCAGGAGUGCUGUGGCUUCCUGGGAAUGUCACAGGUGAAGAGUCGCCAGCCAACCCCAGUGCGCACAGGUGAGCCGAUUGGAUUGCUUUAAACUGUCUCAGCUGUUGUACAAGUGUGAAAAUAAGAGCCAUAUCAGAUAAACUGCUUUUUAUUAAAAAAAAAACCAAAAACACAACCAACAACUUAUAAGGUAAUUGAUUGCUUUCUUCUAGUCUUUUAUUAGUUGUGAUUAAGGAGAUAUAGUAGCCCUGUUUACACAGCUCUAACAAGUCAGGACCUGCAGCACGUUAUUGGCUUGCGGCCCACAACUUGCAGUCCAUUCUCAACAGAAUCAAUCUGAAGUUGAAAACAUCCCCUGUAGGAAGCGUACACAUCCCUGCUUAUCCAGGAACAGAAAACAGUAAUAACUUCAGGUCCUGUAAGUUGCAAGUUCAACUUACAGCGAUCAGCCCUGACUUGUCAUUGCUCUCAGCAUGUUCGUGAUGAGAUCAGAGUGCUUCACAGAGGACUCAUACUUUCAACUUGACAAGGGACAUAGGUGAGCAUGUUGCACUUCACUGUUACGUGCAGUUCAGGCUCUGCAGAAAUAAAUUGAGAGCUCCUCACUGUUUAACAUGCAGUCAAAGCACCGCCAAUCUAAAAUGGCUGAUCAGUAAUACUUUAAUUGCAGUUUCAUAGAAACAAAUUGCUAUUUAAUUGCAAUAAGCUCUUCUGUAGCUUAGCUGGACUGACAAUAGGCAUACACCUGGUACUAAAGGUAACAGGCAGCAACAAUGGCUAUCUGGUACUUCGUGUAUAGGAGGCUCAGGCAGUGAAAGCAGACCUGGAACACAGAAUUUCACACUGAAGAAAUGUAAUACUUAAAAAAAAUAUAUAUACAUAAAUGUUCUGAUCUCAAUUUUAGUCAUCAUUUUAAUAGAGCUGUUCAGAACGUAGAUCCUUGCAAAAAAGCCUCACACUUGACAUAUAACCACCAGCCAAAGAAUUUGAUAAAAAAUUUAAAUUAAAAUGGUCUUUUGAAAUGCCUGACAGUAUUUGAUAGCAAGUCAUACUAUGCUGGUAUGUGAUUUUUUUUUAUUUUUUUUUUUUUAGCAUUUACCCUAAAAUUAGAUGAUGCAAAUUUUAUCAGUGUUAACUAACAGAGAAAAAAAGGGAGACAAACUCAGUGUGGUUAAUAUUCUAAAGAUGUGACUUAAUUUCAUAGGCUUCAUUUUGGUAAGACAUUCUCAUUUUAUGUUUCAUAAGAUACUGCAUAACCUGUUAAAAUAUUUAAAGAUAAAUCAUGCAGGACUGAAAAGACAGUAUCUUGUUGCAAACAGAAUUUGGUUUGGAAAGGCUUAAUGUCCCACUGCCUGCCAGGAUGCGUAAAUCUCAUAACUAGACAGCUGGAUAGGUAAAAACAUUAAACCCAUUUAGAGGGCAAUCUUUUUACAAAAUUGUUUCAUUAAUAAGAGUGACAAUUUAUAUGAUUGAGACGUUUAGAUGCAGUAUAGACAGAGCUUUUUAUCCAGGUUCACGAGGAUGAUUUCAGAUUAGUAAUAUUUCCUUUGAUUUUUUUUUUUAACAGCAUUCAUUUUUGAAAGUGAGGGAAGCUCUUACUGAAUGAUUAUUUGUAUGACUUUUCAGCAGCACUAAACGUAGAGGGUGUAUUUCAGCCUCAGUGUAGCAAAUGCAUGUGAUAAAAGGUGAACAAGUACAUGCUUUUCCUCACACAUCUCCUAAAAAAAGGCUUUUUUUUUUUUCACAUAAGGACAAAUCUAAGUGUUUCCAGUAGCCUUCUAUCCACACCUACCAUCCCCAUUAAAGCCCAUUUUAUUGUCUGAAAUGCCUCUGGUUUCAAGAAAGUGUUUUACCUAAAGCAAGAAUACUACUUAAAUAUGUUCUAUUGUAUAUUCAUAGCUCCAUUAGUCCUCCUCCAAUUUAGCACAUCAAAGCAAAGGCUUCAUCACUUGCAUGUGGAUUAUGCUAACAUGAGUGACAUUUGUAAUCUUAUAGGUCUGCAACUUAAGAAAUGCUUUUAAAGUAAGCUGUUAAAUAGGUAGCUGUGCUUUACAAAUGAGUCAUAUAAUAGUUUAUUUAAAGCCGUUAAUGAACUUCAACCUCUACAUCACUAAAUGCUAGACUACAUUACUUCCUAGAAGUUAUUAGCUAUCUUCUUAGCACUUCUGGGUUAUAUUGGACAACCAAAAACCUGUACAUGUUAGAUUUAAACACUGUACCUUGAGUGCUUAUACUGAAAGACUAUAAAAAGAUGUCUACAGUCUAACUAAUACUUGAAUACUGUAUUCAUAUGACUUCAAGUGUCUUUUCAAAGAUUUUAAAGCAGCACAAUUUGCAGGACUCUAUCUAAAGACUUUACUGCCAGAUCAAAAAACCUUAGAAAAUUAUUUUUAAAAUGUGUAAGUGCAUUUAAUUAGAAAAGCCACACAUAGCUUCACUCAUUUUAUUGCUUUAUACGUUCUGCAAGUAUUCUUUUGUCUUUGCUGCCUGAUACUGUACAACAUUUUCUUUUCUCUGGAACAAUCCUAUUUUUCCUCAAGCACUGAAGUGUUAAAAGAAGAUAUUCAGCAGACCUCCAAUAUACAGGAGGUCAAGAAGUAGAAUCUGAAAAAAAAUAAUAUCUGCUGUUGGUUGUUUAGACAGACAAAUCUAUAAAUCAGCUUUUUGUGUAUUGGCAUCACAACAAAAAUAAGUCAAGCUCACUCCGUAACCAAGCACACUGAACAGUGAACACCUUCUCAAAAACAGAAUUAAAAAAGACAAACAUAAUCAUGAUGCAUUUCAAAUGUAUUAGUCUCCUAUAGAAGUAGAGUAGUUGUUAAUAUUGAUUUGUUACUAAUUGUGGCAGAGGCACAUUCUAGGUGCUUGCAGUUUCCUAACUGAAGGCAUACAAUGCACCUCCAUAGCUUCAUGUUAGCGUUCUUGCUACAAACAGAAAAAGUCAGAGGUUUUUUUCCCUCAAAAUUAUUCUGCACAGCUCUGCCACUGAGCAGCUGAUGGGAAAAACCCACUAAAUGAAGUUGCUCCCUCUCUUAGCUCAGAGGAGGCUUUGUUGCUUUGGGGAGGGGGGGGUGGUGUUUGUUUGCUUUCAGAGAACAGAUCAUACUUGAGAUCAGUUAGUUCUCGGAAACAACCCGAGAAACAUGUUUUUCUUUCCUUAAGAUUAUCAGUGUUGAAAAGUUGCUCUCUUAGCACAGCAAACACAACUUUAUGUUGUUCAAAUCAGAAUAGCUAUUGUAUUCCUUUUUAUGAAUACUUGAUUCUAGUGCUCAGCAUGAGGUACAGACCUUUUGUUGCUUUUUAUUUUAUCAUUCUUUGACCUCUUAUGGUAUAUACACACACUCUCAUGCUUGCACACCCAGACACAUGCACACCCUUAACACAGAUGAUUCUGUGAAAAGGAACUGGAUAGAAAGAGACCACAAUACCUAUAUGCAUACCAUAAUUCACUGCAAUAUGAAUGACAAUAUACUUGCUGUUAUUAGAAAUAAGAAUCUCAAUGAAAAAUAAAGAUAAUUUUGAAGUAGUGCUCCGUAUCCUUGCCAAAAGGAACACGGUUAAGUAGUUUAACAGAUUCUUUACUGGCAUAAGACAAAAAAAAAAGUCCAAACCAAAAAGCUACUUUUAAAGGUAACUGACAAUUAAGGUAAUGACUACCUAAGAUAUAGUUUCAGAAUAAUGUUUUGAAUGUUUAAAAAAAAAGGCUUCUAAAACUCAUACUCGAUUCAGUGUUGUUUGUUUUACUUUUUUAUUAUUUAAAUACACCAUACUAGAGCAAAUGUCUCUGAAAAUAUCACAAAUAAAAGAUUUUUCUUCAUUCAGCAAAUUAGAAGUAGGUGAAAAUUUCUACACAGUAGCUGCUAUGAGCCUGACUUUUUUUCUUUUUUUUUUUUUUUUUUUUGCCAUGGGAAGUAGCAACAUUAGGACAAAAACACUUACAUG